UCAGGGGUCGUCCAACGGUAGGACACCGGUCUCUGGAACCGGCUAUCGGGGUUCGAAUCCCUGCCCCUGAG
Molecule: transfer RNA, 71 nt
Filed under: bacterium
Lineage: Bacteria
Also listed under: 1 other name
Description: tRNA-Gln
Rfam family: tRNA
About the family: Transfer RNA (tRNA) molecules are approximately 80 nucleotides in length. Their secondary structure includes four short double-helical elements and three loops (D, anti-codon, and T loops).
Source: RNAcentral